GACGAACGCUGGCGGCGUGCCUAAUACAUGCAAGUUGAGCGCUGAAGGUUGGUACUUGUACCGACUGGAUGAGCAGCGAACGGGUGAGUAACGCGUGGGGAAUCUGCCUUUGAGCGGGGGACAACAUUUGGAAACGAAUGCUAAUACCGCAUAAAAACUUUAAACACAAGUUUUAAGUUUGAAAGAUGCAAUUGCAUCACUCAAAGAUGAUCCCGCGUUGUAUUAGCUAGUUGGUGAGGUAAAGGCUCACCAAGGCGAUGAUACAUAGCCGACCUGAGAGGGUGAUCGGCCACAGUGGGACUGAGACUCGGCCCAAACUCCUACGGGAGGCAGCAGUAGGGAAUCUCCGGCAAUGGACGAAAGUCUGACCGAGCAACGCCGCGUGAGUGAAGAAGGUUUUCGGAUCGUAAAACUCUGUUGGUAGAGAAGAACGUUGGUGAGAGUGGAAAGCUCAUCAAGUGACGGUAACUACCCAGAAAGGGACGGCUAACUACGUGCCAGCCGCCGCUGUAA
This 513-nucleotide ribosomal RNA is filed under the name uncultured bacterium. Its description in RNAcentral is "partial 16S ribosomal RNA". It matches the Rfam family "Bacterial small subunit ribosomal RNA", at positions 28 to 523 of the family's 1533-position model. The record is from RNAcentral.